Gasterosteus aculeatus aculeatus (three-spined stickleback) is the source of this 1095-nucleotide long non-coding RNA. Lineage: Eukaryota; Metazoa; Chordata; Actinopteri; Perciformes; Gasterosteidae. The record is from Ensembl.
GAAUUGAACGGUCAAACACAAAUGAGCCACGUCUUCGCCCAUAGCAACUGAAACCAGAGCAGAUUUCUCACUCGGAGAACAUUUCAUUACCGGAUUUACAUGUUGACCCACUUUAGAAGAAUUUACAUCUAGUGAUGCUUAAAUAAUGACCGAAUGGAGUAAGACGUCACCAGACCAGAGGCAACAGAACCGAGUACGUCCCUUUUUAAUUUAAAAUGUUUGUGUUCCAGGUCAUCGGCGGCUCAGGUGUCAAACUCUCAAAUACUCUCAGCGUCGCCCUUUUUUAAACUUGGGGGGAACCGUCAGCACAAAGUGUCGAUCGGCCUCCAUCGUCUUUUAAAGCCUUUCUCCUGACACCUUGACCCCCCCCCCUCCCUCCCCUCCCUCCUUCUCCGUCAGUCGCCUCUUGUCCACCUACGUGCCGCUGGAAGCUAAGGAGCUUUAGCAGCUCCGCAGCAGCCAGCCGGUGAGGGAGGAACCGGCUUCCGGUGGCCAGAGGCGGGCGGCUCACUUGCCUGGGAUUAAGUGGGAUCGGGAGAGAUUACAGCCCUCUCUCCCUCCCUCUCUCUCUCUCUCUCUCUCCCCCCUCGUUCCCUGCUGCUCGAUCAAAGUGUUGCGCUCCGUCUUUUUCUAUACAUUUUUCCUGCAAGUCCCGGUGCAAAAACCUGCAGGAGCUGGAGGAUCGAAGCUUGUGGCACCCUUGAGGAUUCAGACAGAAGAAAGGUAAGAUGCUUUUUGAAGGAGGGGAGGACUUGGAGGCAUGAUCCUCUCCUACUUUAACGAGGAACCUCUUGAGGAGCACCUUCUAUUUUAUUUCCAACAGCUGUUGGUUAAACACAUGUCUUAAUGGGGUUGUCGUUGUUUAUUUACAGCCAUGAUUACGGGCAUAGAGGUUUUUACUGGUGACGUUUAUCGCCCAAUCUUGUCAGUGUCCCUGUUCUUGUAAAAUGGAAUUAAUAAUCCUUGGAAUGACAUUGCAGCUGAAUGUAAUGCAAAACAAAUACCAGAUUGGACUUGAUACUAGUCUUUGCAUUGCCAGAGAUUAGGAUCUGCACAUCUCUGUUUUCAUCACAGCUACUCUUUCAAGCUGCUGCA